UGGGGAAUAUUGGACAAUGGGCGAAAGCCUGAUCCAGCCAUGCCGCGUGUGUGAAGAAGGUCUUCGGAUUGUAAAGCACUUUAAGUUGGGAGGAAGGGCAGUAAGCGAAUACCUUGCUGUUUUGACGUUACCGACAGAAUAAGCACCGGCUAACUCUGUGCCAGCAGCCGCGGUAAUACAGAGGGUGCAAGCGUUAAUCGGAAUUACUGGGCGUAAAGCGCGCGUAGGUGGUUCGUUAAGUUGAAUGUGAAAGCCCCGGGCUCAACCUGGGAACUGCAUCCAAAACUGGCGAGCUAGAGUAGGGCAGAGGGUGGUGGAAUUUCCUGUGUAGCGGUGAAAUGCGUAGAUAUAGGAAGGAACACCAGUGGCGAAGGCGACCACCUGGGCUCAUACUGACACUGAGGUGCGAAUGCGUGGGGAGCAAACAGG
Molecule: ribosomal RNA, 429 nt
Filed under: Pseudomonadota bacterium
Lineage: Bacteria; Pseudomonadati; Pseudomonadota
Description: Proteobacteria bacterium partial 16S ribosomal RNA
Rfam family: Bacterial small subunit ribosomal RNA
Source: RNAcentral